GGCAAGAUGACCGAGCGGUCUAAGGUGUUCGAUUCAAGACGUUAGUCUUCCUGUACCUCAAUACAGGCAUAUUAUAACUCGAAUCUCGAAAGAGGCGUGGGUUCAAAUCCCACUCUUGUCA
Camillea tinctor is the source of this 121-nucleotide non-coding RNA. NCBI's taxonomy places the organism in Eukaryota, Fungi, Ascomycota, Sordariomycetes, Xylariales, Graphostromataceae. The record is from the annotation of a GenBank genome assembly.